UCAUGCAUACAUACAUGUUAUAGCAAUAACAAUCCUGUUUACAAUACAAUGACCAAUACAACAUUAUGAUCUAAACCAAAUUUAAAAUAAAAUUAUGACUUACUAAAGUUAACAAAUAAUAAUGUCAAAGGUUGAAACAACAACAACAGAAGAAGAUCACACAAUGCAAAAUAGAACAACAUCAUCAAAUCGCAAUUCACACAACCACUGCGUAAAUGAAUCAAUUACUAACGGAACUAUACACAAAUAAACCACAAAAAUUACACAAAUAAUUGCUAAAGUCUUAACUUAAUAGACACAUUUUUUAAACUUGGAAUGGAAAUUAGUAAAAUCAAAGUUGAUGUAAUCAUAACUGCAACAAGUAAGCAACGUGAUCGGAUCAA
Molecule: long non-coding RNA, 383 nt
Filed under: Lathyrus oleraceus (garden pea)
Lineage: Eukaryota; Viridiplantae; Streptophyta; Magnoliopsida; Fabales; Fabaceae
Description: Pisum sativum (pea) long non-coding RNA (PSAT_LNC017280)
Source: RNAcentral